RNAcentral lists this ribosomal RNA (112 nucleotides) under Acinetobacter baumannii 42057_2. The record is from RNAcentral. Lineage: Bacteria; Pseudomonadati; Pseudomonadota; Gammaproteobacteria; Moraxellales; Moraxellaceae.
GGCGACCAUAGCAAGAGUGAACCACCUGAUCCCUUCCAGAACUCAGAAGUGAAACCUCUUAGCGCUGAUGGUAGUGUGGGAUUACCCAUGUGAGAGUAAGUCAUCGCCAGCU